AAGAACAAACAAACACUUGUUGAAAGAUGCAAUGCAUGGAGAAACUAUAUAAACUAGAACAAAGAGUGGGAAAAUAUACAUCAGAAAAAUUUACAACACUUGAUUUUUCAUUCACAAUUUAAAACAAAAGAUGGACUCCCAAAACGCGAGCUACAAUGCUGGGCAAGCCAAGGGUCAAGCUCAGGUCUACCUUCAACCUCUUCUCUUUCUUGCAUGGUUAAUAUUCGGAAUUCAUUGACAAGGUUUUGUAUUGUAUUGCAGGAAAAGGCUAGCAACAUGAUGGACAAGGCUAGCAAUGUUGCUCAUUCUGCUCAAGACUCCAUGCAACAGGUUCUUCCACGUUUUGUUUCUAAAAUUUUACCCAAUCAAAUCAUGUUGUAACAUUCAUGUUUAAUCCAUAUUUAGAAUAAUAUUCAUAUUGAUAUAUGAGUGUAAAGAGUUUUGCUAGGUUGUUGAAAUAGAAUUUAAGAUGCAUGAUAAAAGUAAGUGUAUUUUGUUGUGUGUAUAGGCUGGGCAACAAAUGCAGGAAAAGGCACAAGGAGCUGCUGAUUCUAUCAAGAGUAUUUUGAAUUCAAAGAACUAAUGAAGCUAAAUGGAUGGUUAAUUAUGUCGAACUUCACUUCCCUUCAAUAAACCUUGUUUCUACUUAUUGAAUUUGUUCUUGUACCUCUUAAUAUAUUGAUAUAUGAAGAUUUAUUACUUUGUUAAGAAAUAAAUUUAAGUUUAAUUUAAUCUUACAAAUCGAUUAAUAUAUUUAAUUAACU
RNAcentral lists this long non-coding RNA (764 nucleotides) under Vigna radiata. Its description in RNAcentral is "long non-coding RNA (VRAD_LNC000362)". The record is from RNAcentral. Lineage: Eukaryota; Viridiplantae; Streptophyta; Magnoliopsida; Fabales; Fabaceae.